RNAcentral lists this non-coding RNA (58 nucleotides) under Paracoccus sp. J56. RNAcentral describes it as "sul1 RNA". It matches the Rfam family "sul1 RNA". Lineage: Bacteria; Pseudomonadati; Pseudomonadota; Alphaproteobacteria; Rhodobacterales; Paracoccaceae. The record is from Rfam by way of RNAcentral.
CAUGGAGCAGGGUGAAAUUUCCGGCUGGGUUUUCCGGCCGCCUGUCCGCCGGACAACC